Molecule: ribosomal RNA, 484 nt
Filed under: uncultured bacterium
Lineage: Bacteria
Description: partial 16S ribosomal RNA
Rfam family: Bacterial small subunit ribosomal RNA
Source: RNAcentral
AUUGAACGCUGGCGGCAGGCCUAACACAUGCAAGUCGAGCGGAUGAAGGGAGCUUGCUCCUGGAUUCAGCGGCGGACGGGUGAGUAAUGCCUAGGAAUCUGCCUGGUAGUGGGGGAUAACGUCCGGAAACGGGCGCUAAUACCGCAUACGUCCUGAGGGAGAAAGUGGGGGAUCUUCGGACCUCACGCUAUCAGAUGAGCCUAGGUCGGAUUAGCUAGUUGGUGGGGUAAAGGCCUACCAAGGCGACGAUCCGUAACUGGUCUGAGAGGAUGAUCAGGCACACUGGAACUGAGACACGGUACAGACUCCUACGGGAGGCAGCAGUGGGGAAUAUUGGACAAUGGGCGAAAGCCUGAUCCAGCCAUGCCGCGUGUGUGAAGAAGGUCUUCGGAUUGUAAAGCACUUUAAGUUGGGAGGAAGGGCAGUAAGUUAAUACCUUGCUGUUUUGACGUUACCAACAGAAUAAGCACCGGCUAACUUCGUG